Molecule: long non-coding RNA, 2595 nt
Organism: Egretta garzetta (little egret)
Lineage: Eukaryota; Metazoa; Chordata; Aves; Pelecaniformes; Ardeidae
Exons: 3
Source: RefSeq, a predicted model, not a curated record
CCGGGGGCACCGGGGGCAGCCCCGCGUACAGGUUCUCUGGUGACCGGCGAAGAACUGCCCGUUCUGCUGCGUAGGCCUUGCUGUAGGUGGCCGCCUUCCUCAGCAAGCCGUCUCUUUCCCACCCUCAGUCCCGCAUGCAGCACCACCACGUAACGCACAAGGAGAAGUGGCCUGGAUAAUAACUCCGAACAUCAGCCUUGCAAGAAAGAAUAGACGAGAGCUCACUUAGCUCUUCAGCCAGAGCUCUGGCUCUGCGUGUCUCUCUUGGCUGUGUUUUCCUGGAUUCGCCGUUCCCCCGGUAGGAGCACUCUUUUGCCAUUAAUGGGGAUCACUUGGCUGCAACAGUUUGUACAAGACACAAAAGAAUAAUACAGGGAGGAGGUUCCCUAGAAUGGACUAUUCCCACACGUCCAAAUGCCAAACAAUUCUGAACUCAUCAGGAGUUACGGGAACUUGUUCUAUCCUGAUUCCUUAGUGGAAAGACAAGCAGAUUAAGGCUAGAAAUGAAUGGGAGAUGUUUUAAAAAAAAUGCUGUCUCAGAUGUUGGAGCUGUUUUGUUGCCACUGCCUGAUCUUUUCAAAAAAGAAGACACCUUUGGAGGUAGGGUACUUUAUUCCCAGACAGAAGAAUAUUUUGAGAAAUACUUGCUACACUUACAAAUUAAAGAAGCACCUGUUCUGCUUUUUCUAAAAGCAUCCUUAUUUCCUUUGUAUAGGAGCAACGUUUUAAUGCGAAUAUAGCCACUUUAGAGAUGUUUGCACCCAUACUUUUGUAAAUUUCUGCAUCUAUGUUCUGUGUGUUACAGUUUACAGCCUCUUUCCAACCUUGACCUUUACAUACUUGCAAUUUUGAAAAAUAUCAGUUUUGUCAUAUGGUCAGGUUUCACCUGCUGCUGAUUUUACCUCCUACAAAAUGGCAUCCAUAUUUCAAAGAACCCACCCUCUGUUCUACCAGUCCUGCUGGGUUUGUUUCUCCAUCAAAAGGGCGUCCCACGUUUAAGGCUAUGAGAUUUUCCAUGAUGGAAUGAAAAAAUCCUUUCCACGCAGAGCCACGUAGCAGACAGUUAAUGACAAGGUGGGUGUCAUUUUUUCCUUCUUCACAAGGAGAGCACCUUUGCAAGGAGCGUUCAGCAAGCAAACGGUGGAUCUAAAGCAAUGUUGUUACUCACUACAAUGUGGUCAUUCUGGUCCCUCCUGCACCUCUGUGCAGGCACAUCCCGUAAGGGAAAGUAAUAACUUCUUUCUCAGCAGCCUCCCUAGUGUGUUGUGUCACCACUGAAACAUGUAUGGGAUCCUGGCUGGAGACACCUACUAUCUGUGGACUAUUUAAUAAUAUUUCUCUGUAAAUUUCCUCAGAGGAGAAUGAAUAAUGCCUUUUCCGUAUCAUUCAUCGUUGUGCCUGCUCAGCCUUCCCCGGUCUCUCUUUUAAGCUUUCAGUGUGUAUGUAUCUGUCAUGGCCCUUCUAAAAGUGACACAUAUUUAAAAAAUUCCCCCAUUUUCUCGUUCAUCCACAUAUGUCAGUUGAUUGAAAGGAGUAAUGAAAGUCAAAUGAAAGCCUUGAAAGGAAAACUUUUUCUCUUAAAACAAUCAAAGUGAAAGAUACUGGAAAGGAGAAACCUUUACUCCUUUAUGAUUUUGGCAGAUUUCUAUAUGAGAUUUCAUCUCUGCAUCUCAAAAGGUGGGGGGCACCUACCCUCACCCCAGCACAGCUGUAUGUGUUUGGUAGGUUCCGGAGAAGAACUCCUUCAGAGAAUGGAUUGAAGGGAGAGUGACUUUUCAUAUUUACCUCAGCAUCUUGAAAGCCUGAAUAGCUGGUCAAAUCCCACCUCUCUUCAGAUUUUAAAACUACCCUGGUUUCUUCCAAAAGAAGAGAAUGUCUCCUGCUUGCAUGAUGCUAUCAAAUAAGUCUCUUCUUAGAGCAAUUAAAACUCCUUUUAGAGCCUUUCAACAUUUAACUAUAAAUCCAUCUGGUCUUGCUGCUAUAUUUAUUUACAGAUUAUUCAUGACAGUGUCUACAUCCUCUUUUAAAAAUAUAUUCUCUAUAAUUUUGUAGAGUCAGGAGGGGCAAGAUAGUUUAACUUUUCUUUGUACUUUUUGGCACUAACAUACAUAAUUCUUCAUAAAAUUAUUUAUAUAUUGGUAACAACUGCCUUGAAGUACGAUAAGUUUAUAUUCAGAUUACUCUUCCUUAAUGAUUUGGGUUACCUUUGCAGUCCCUCAAUAUUUUUCUUUGUUUUGAAGCCCUAAAAUUUAUAUUACCGAAGCCCCUGCUAGUCUGAAAACAGUCUUAUACCUCCUUCACUACUUUUAUUUACUUGGCUCCCGUCUCCCUGGAUUCUUGAGCAGUUCUCAUUGUUCUCAUACUUUUUACUCUUUUCCCUUGCUCCCUGAAAGUGGAAGUGUGCUGUAAGUUGCUGAUGGAAGAGGAUGUUAUCCCUUCCUAAUGGUUCAUUAUUCCACUAAAUAAUGGUCUCCAUCUGGGAGGGCAGUUAAUGGCUACGUCAGGAACCUUCUGGCACAUCACUGAAUUUCUCAGAAAUUGGAAAUGAGGUGGGAAGAAGUGCUGAAAGCAAAAUUUCACAUCUCUCCCAUAUUA